UGUGCACAUUGUUAGAGCUUGGAGUUGAGGCCAUUGAUUGGCUGAUGAACUCUCAAGUGUAGGUAGUGUGCUACAUGAGGGGCAAGUUUUUCGCUAACACUCCAUUCUGACUCUGUGAGUGGAGUUUGAUAGUAAUCCUUGCUACAAGU
RNAcentral lists this small nucleolar RNA (149 nucleotides) under Sciurus vulgaris (Eurasian red squirrel). Lineage: Eukaryota; Metazoa; Chordata; Mammalia; Rodentia; Sciuridae. The record is from RNAcentral.